GACGAACGCUGGCGGCGUGCUUAACACAUGCAAGUCGAACGGAAAGACCCUGCUUUUGGGGGGUUCUCGAGUGGCGCACGGGUGUGUAACACGUGAGUAACCUGCCCUUGACUUGGGGAUAACUUCGGGAAACUGGGUCUAAUACCGGAUAGGAGCUCCUGCUGCAUGGUGGGGGGUGGAAAGUUUCGGCGGUUGGGGAUGGACUCGCGGCUUAUCAGCUUGUUGGUGGGGUAGUGUCUUACCAAGGCUUUGACGGGCAGCCGGCCUGAGAGGGUGACCGGCCACAUUGGGACUGAGAUACGGCCCAGAAUCCUACGGGAGGCAGCAGUGGGGAAUAUUGAACAAUGGGCGGAAGCCUGAUGCAGCAACGCCGCGUGCGGGAUGACGGCCUUAGGGUUGUAAACCGCUUUCGCCUGUGACGAAGCGUGAGUGACGGUAAUGGGUAAAGAAGCACCGGCUAACUACGUG
This 468-nucleotide ribosomal RNA is filed under the name uncultured bacterium. Its description in RNAcentral is "partial 16S ribosomal RNA". It matches the Rfam family "Bacterial small subunit ribosomal RNA", at positions 28 to 507 of the family's 1533-position model. The record is from RNAcentral.